GGCCCUAAAGGCGUGAGUUGGGAUACAAUAAGCGACGCCAUGACAGUGCUACGAAAAGACACACAUUAACGCUUACGCUAUUCGGUAGCCAACGGCCAAUUAAUGUUUCGGCAGUGUAGAAAAAACGGCGUUUCUCCGCCAUGUUUUAGCGUGAUCUCAAAAGCUGCUGUUUGCAAUAUUUAAGUACAACUAUUGCCAUCUUUAAUGGCUACCGUUUUAAAAACAUGUCAUAUUUUGGACGUUUUAACGAAAUGGUUUUAAUUUGUUAUCUGUCUUUUUUUAACGUUCUCGUGUAAUUAUAAUAAUUUAAACUAGAGUUAAUAUUUUUAAGUUAAGAGUUUUAGUUUUUCUAUGUGAAUCAAUGCGAGGAUAACAUAAUAGACACAGAUAAAUAUGAAAAUAUCAAGAAAAUCAGCAAAUUAGUAAGAGGUAAAUCCUAGUUAUAUUGGAUAUCUCUUAUUGAUAUUUAUAUUGCAUAUGAUAAAGCAGUCACUAAUGAACAUAAUUAGAAGUUCUAAAUAUAUUAAUCAAAUAAAGUGGAUUUAUAGGUACUUCAUGAACUUUGGAAAUAUAAAAUCUAGUGAGCAAUACUAAGGAAUGAAAAAGAGAAGCUCUCCAUAGCUUGAAAUAAUGGUUGGUUAAGUAACAUUACCUCGAGAACAGGAAACAGUAACUGAAACUAUGUUCUUCUACAUUUAAUCUUAAUAAGUUCAGCAGUUUGAAUGUUAAUGAGACAUUAUUAUAAACAAACUGCAUUUGUAGAUUUUGGGAAGAAUUAUAUCUUUACAAUAA
This is a long non-coding RNA of Pieris napi, 792 nucleotides long. RefSeq lists it as uncharacterized. The transcript has 3 exons. NCBI's taxonomy places the organism in Eukaryota, Metazoa, Arthropoda, Insecta, Lepidoptera, Pieridae. The record is from RefSeq and is a predicted model, not a curated record.